AUACAGAGGGUGCAAGCGUUAAUCGGAAUUACUGGGCGUAAAGGGCGCGUAGGUGGAAGUUUAAGUCAGAGGUGAAAGGCCUGGGCUUAACCUAGGAAUUGCCUCUGAUACUGGACAUCUUGAGUACAGUAGAGGAAAGUGGAAUUUCCGGUGUAGCGGUGAAAUGCGUAGAUAUCGGAAGGAACACCAGUGGCGAAGGCGACUUUCUGGACUGUAACUGACACUGAGGCGCGAAAGCGUGGGGAGCAAACAGGAUUAGAUACCCCGGUAGUCC
Molecule: ribosomal RNA, 274 nt
Filed under: uncultured bacterium
Lineage: Bacteria
Description: partial 16S ribosomal RNA
Rfam family: Bacterial small subunit ribosomal RNA
Source: RNAcentral